Non-coding RNA from Populus trichocarpa (black cottonwood), 124 nucleotides. NCBI's taxonomy places the organism in Eukaryota, Viridiplantae, Streptophyta, Magnoliopsida, Malpighiales, Salicaceae. The record is from Rfam.
UACCUGACUGCUCAGAAUCACUCUUUUGGUAGACUUAUACCUAACUGCUCAGAAUCACUUUUUAUCCCAAGUUCGACUACAUCAUUAACACUCAUAAAAUAUAGUUGGAAGAAAAAGUUCAUAA